AUUGAACGCUGGCGGCAUGCCUUACACAUGCAAGUCGAACGGUAACAGGUCUUCGGAUGCUGACGAGUGGCGAACGGGUGAGUAAUACAUCGGAACGUGCCUAGUAGUGGGGGAUAACUACUCGAAAGAGUGGCUAAUACCGCAUGAGAUCUACGGAUGAAAGCAGGGGAUCGCAAGACCUUGUGCUACUAGAGCGGCCGAUGGCAGAUUAGGUAGUUGGUGGGAUAAAAGCUUACCAAGCCGACGAUCUGUAGCCGGUCUGAGAGGACGAUCAGCCACACUGGGAUUGAGACACGGCCCAGACUCCUACGGGAGGCAGCAGUGGGGAAUUUUGGACAAUGGGCGCAAGCCUGAUCCAGCAAUGCCGCGUGCAGGAUGAAGGCCUUCGGGUUGUAAACUGCUUUUGUACGGAACGAAAAGCCCCGGGUUAAUACCCUGGGGUCAUGACGGUACCGUAAGAAUAAGCACCGGCUAACUACGUGCCAGCCGCCGCCGUAA
RNAcentral lists this ribosomal RNA (498 nucleotides) under uncultured bacterium. RNAcentral describes it as "partial 16S ribosomal RNA". It matches the Rfam family "Bacterial small subunit ribosomal RNA", at positions 30 to 523 of the family's 1533-position model. The record is from RNAcentral.